CACGUAGUUAGCCGGGGCUUCUUGGUCAGGUACCGUCAUUUCUUUCUUCCCUGCUGAUAGAGCUUUACAUACCGAGAUACUUCUUCACUCACGCGGCGUCGCUGGAUCAGGGUUCCCCCCAUUGUCCAAUAUUCCCCACUGCUGCCUCCCGUAGGAGUUUGGGCCGUGUCUCAGUCCCAAUGUGGCCGUCCACCCUUUCAGGCCGGCUACUGAUCGUCGCCUUGGUGGGCCGUUACCCCGCCAACAAGCUAAUCAGACGCGGGUCCAUCAUAUACCACCGGAGUUUUUCACACUGAGCCAUGCAGCUCCGUGCGCUUAUGCGGUAUUAGCACCUAUUUCUAAGUGUUAUCCCCCUGUAUAUGGCAGGUUACCCACGCGUUACUCACCCGUCCGCCACUAAGCCGCCAACAUUUCCACUCUUAGCAAGCUAAUCGCUUCAAAAAUGGUGGCCCCGUUCGACUUGCAUGUGUUAAGCACGCCGCCAGCGUUCAUCCUGAGCCAGGAUCAAA
Molecule: ribosomal RNA, 509 nt
Filed under: uncultured Lachnospiraceae bacterium
Lineage: Bacteria; Bacillati; Bacillota; Clostridia; Lachnospirales; Lachnospiraceae
Description: partial 16S ribosomal RNA
Source: RNAcentral